Molecule: unclassified non-coding RNA, 352 nt
Filed under: soil metagenome
Description: partial contains 5.8S ribosomal RNA, internal transcribed spacer 2, and large subunit ribosomal RNA
Rfam family: 5.8S ribosomal RNA (bases 1-120)
Source: RNAcentral
GAUGAAGAACGCAGCGAAAUGCGAUAAGUAAUGUGAAUUGCAGAAUUCAGUGAAUCAUCGAAUCUUUGAACGCACAUUGCGCCCGCCAGUAUUCUGGCGGGCAUGCCUGUUCGAGCGUCAUUACAACCCUCAGGCCCCCGGGCCUGGCGUUGGGGAUCGGCGGAGCCCCCCGUGGGCACACGCCGUCCCCCAAAUGCAGUGGCGGUCCCGCCGCAGCUUCCAUCGCGUAGUAGCUAACACCUCGCGACUGGAGAGCGGCGCGGCCACGCCGUAAAACACCCAACUCUUCUGAAGUUGACCUCGAAUCAGGUAGGAAUACCCGCUGAACUUAAGUAUAUCAAUAAGCGGAGGA